This 460-nucleotide ribosomal RNA is filed under the name uncultured bacterium. Its description in RNAcentral is "partial 16S ribosomal RNA". It matches the Rfam family "Bacterial small subunit ribosomal RNA", at positions 338 to 795 of the family's 1533-position model. The record is from RNAcentral.
CCUACGGGCGGCUGCAGUGAGGAAUAUUGCUCAAUGGGCGCUAGCCUGAACCAGCCAUGUCGCGUGAAGGAUGACUGCCCUAUGGUUUUUAAGCUUCUUUUAUAUGGGGGUAGGGUGCAGUAUUUAUACUGCUUUGCAUUUACCUUAUGAAUAGGAAUCGGCUAACGCCGUUCCAGCAGCCGCGGUAAUACGGUGGGUCCGAUCGUUAUCCGGAUUGAUUGGGUUGAAAGGGAGCGUAGGCGGGGUGUUAAGUCAGUUGUGAAGGUCUGCGGCUUAACCGGACAAUUGCAUUUGAUACUGGAACACUUGAGUACAUUAGAGGGAGGCGGAAUUCGUGGUGUAGCGGUGAAAUGCGUAGAGAUGACGAAGAAUACCGAUUGCGAAGGCAGCCUGUUGGAAUGUAACUGACGCUGAUGUGCGAAAGUGUGGGGAUCAAACAGGAUUAGAUACCCUAGUAGUC